RNAcentral lists this ribosomal RNA (264 nucleotides) under uncultured bacterium. RNAcentral describes it as "partial 16S ribosomal RNA". It matches the Rfam family "Bacterial small subunit ribosomal RNA", at positions 77 to 339 of the family's 1533-position model. The record is from RNAcentral.
AGCUUGCUCCGAUCGGAUUAGUGGCGGACGGGUGAGUAACGCGUGAGUAACCUGCCUGCGAGAGGGGGAUAACAACGGGAAACUGUUGCUAAUACCGCAUAACGCAUCGAUUCCGCAUGGAGAUGAUGCCAAAGGGAAACCGCUUGCAGAUGGACUCGCGUCUGAUUAGGUAGUUGGUGAGGUAACGGCUCACCAAGCCGACGAUCAGUAGCCGGACUGAGAGGUUGAACGGCCACAUUGGAACUGAGACACGGCCCAGACUCC